AACGAACGCUGGCGGCAGGCUUAACACAUGCAAGUCGAACGCCCCGCAAGGGGAGUGGCAGACGGGUGAGUAACGCGUGGGAACGUACCUUUCAGUUCGGAAUAACUCAGGGAAACUUGUGCUAAUACCGGAUACGUCCGUAAGGAGAAAGAUUUAUCGCUGGAAGAUCGGCCCGCGUUGGCUUAGCUAGUUGGUGGGGUAAUGGCCUACCAAGGCGACGAUCCAUAGCUGGUCUGAGAGGAUGAUCAGCCACACUGGGACUGAGACACGGCCCAGACUCCUACGGGAGGCAGCAGUGGGGAAUAUUGGACAAUGGGCGAAAGCCUGAUCCAGCCAUGCCGCGUGAGUGAUGAAGGCCCUAGGGUUGUAAAGCUCUUUCACCGAUGAAGAUAAUGACGGUAGUCGGAGAAGAAGCCCCGGCUAACUUCGUGCCAGCCGCCGCCGUAA
RNAcentral lists this ribosomal RNA (447 nucleotides) under uncultured bacterium. RNAcentral describes it as "partial 16S ribosomal RNA". It matches the Rfam family "Bacterial small subunit ribosomal RNA", at positions 29 to 523 of the family's 1533-position model. The record is from RNAcentral.